GACGAACGCUGGCGGCAUGCCUAACACAUGCAAGUCGAGCGAGUGGAUCUCUUCGGAGAGAAGCUAGCGGCGGACGGGCGAGUAACACGUGGGCAACCUGCCUCAUAGAGGGGAAUAGCCUUCCGAAAGGGAGAUUAAUACCGAAUAAGAUUGUAGCUUCCCAUGGAGUAGCCGUUAAAGGAAUAAUCCGCUAUGAGAUGGGCCCGCGGCGCAUUAGGUAGUUGGUGAGGUAACGGCUCACAAAGGCGACGAUGCGUAGCCGACCUGAGAGGGUGAUCGGCCACAUUGGGACUGGGACACGGCCCAGACUCCUACGGGAGGCAGCAGUGGGGAAUAUUGCACAAUGGGGGAAACCCUGAUGCAGCAAUGCCGCGUGAGUGAUGACGGCCUUCGGGUUGUAAAGCUCUGUCUUCGGGGACGAUAAUGACGGUACCCGAGGAGGAAGCCACGGCUAACUACGUGCCAGCCGCCGCCGUAA
This 478-nucleotide ribosomal RNA is filed under the name uncultured bacterium. Its description in RNAcentral is "partial 16S ribosomal RNA". It matches the Rfam family "Bacterial small subunit ribosomal RNA", at positions 28 to 523 of the family's 1533-position model. The record is from RNAcentral.